ACCAGUGGCGAAGGCGACUCUCUGGUCUGUAACUGACGCUGAGGAGCGAAAGCGUGGGGAGCGAACAGGAUUAGAUACCCUGGUAGUCCACGCCGUAAACGAUGAGUGCUAAGUGUUAGGGGGUUUCCGCCCCUUAGUGCUGCAGCUAACGCAUUAAGCACUCCGCCUGGGGAGUACGGUCGCAAGACUGAAACUCAAAGGAAUUGACGGGGGCCCGCACAAGCGGUGGAGCAUGUGGUUUAAUUCGAAGCAACGCGAAGAACCUUACCAGGUCUUGACAUCCUCUGACAAUCCUAGAGAUAGGACGUCCCCUUCGGGGGCAGAGUGACAGGUGGUGCAUGGUUGUCGUCAGCUCGUGUCGUGAGAUGUUGGGUUAAGUCCCGCAACGAGCGCAACCCUUGAUCUUAGUUGCCAGCAUUCAGUUGGGCACUCUAAGGUGACUGCCGGUGACAAACCGGAGGAAGGUGGGGAUGACGUCAAAUCAUCAUGCCCCUUAUGACCUGGGCUACACACGUGCUACAAUGGACAGAAC
This 532-nucleotide ribosomal RNA is filed under the name Bacillus subtilis. Its description in RNAcentral is "bacterial SSU rRNA". It matches the Rfam family "Bacterial small subunit ribosomal RNA", at positions 708 to 1240 of the family's 1533-position model. Lineage: Bacteria; Bacillati; Bacillota; Bacilli; Caryophanales; Bacillaceae. The record is from RNAcentral.